This 1976-nucleotide ribosomal RNA is filed under the name Escherichia coli. RNAcentral describes it as "partial 23S ribosomal RNA". It matches the Rfam family "Bacterial large subunit ribosomal RNA", at positions 136 to 2136 of the family's 2925-position model. The record is from RNAcentral. Lineage: Bacteria; Pseudomonadati; Pseudomonadota; Gammaproteobacteria; Enterobacterales; Enterobacteriaceae.
UGUUUCGACACACUAUCAUUAACUGAAUCCAUAGGUUAAUGAGGCGAACCGGGGGAACUGAAACAUCUAAGUACCCCGAGGAAAAGAAAUCAACCGAGAUUCCCCCAGUAGCGGCGAGCGAACGGGGAGCAGCCCAGAGCCUGAAUCAGUAUGUGUGUUAGUGGAAGCGUCUGGAAAGGCGCGCGAUACAGGGUGACAGCCCCGUACACAAAAAUGCACAUGCUGUGAGCUCGAUGAGUAGGGCGGGACACGUGGUAUCCUGUCUGAAUAUGGGGGGACCAUCCUCCAAGGCUAAAUACUCCUGACUGACCGAUAGUGAACCAGUACCGUGAGGGAAAGGCGAAAAGAACCCCGGCGAGGGGAGUGAAAAAGAACCUGAAACCGUGUACGUACAAGCAGUGGGAGCACGCUUAGGCGUGUGACUGCGUACCUUUUGUAUAAUGGGUCAGCGACUUAUAUUCUGUAGCAAGGUUAACCGAAUAGGGGAGCCGAAGGGAAACCGAGUCUUAACUGGGCGUUAAGUUGCAGGGUAUAGACCCGAAACCCGGUGAUCUAGCCAUGGGCAGGUUGAAGGUUGGGUAACACUAACUGGAGGACCGAACCGACUAAUGUUGAAAAAUUAGCGGAUGACUUGUGGCUGGGGGUGAAAGGCCAAUCAAACCGGGAGAUAGCUGGUUCUCCCCGAAAGCUAUUUAGGUAGCGCCUCGUGAAUUCAUCUCCGGGGGUAGAGCACUGUUUCGGCAAGGGGGUCAUCCCGACUUACCAACCCGAUGCAAACUGCGAAUACCGGAGAAUGUUAUCACGGGAGACACACGGCGGGUGCUAACGUCCGUCGUGAAGAGGGAAACAACCCAGACCGCCAGCUAAGGUCCCAAAGUCAUGGUUAAGUGGGAAACGAUGUGGGAAGGCCCAGACAGCCAGGAUGUUGGCUUAGAAGCAGCCAUCAUUUAAAGAAAGCGUAAUAGCUCACUGGUCGAGUCGGCCUGCGCGGAAGAUGUAACGGGGCUAAACCAUGCACCGAAGCUGCGGCAGCGACGCUGAUGCGUUGUUGGGUAGGGGAGCGUUCUGUAAGCCUGCGAAGGUGUGCUGUGAGGCAUGCUGGAGGUAUCAGAAGUGCGAAUGCUGACAUAAGUAACGAUAAAGCGGGUGAAAAGCCCGCUCGCCGGAAGACCAAGGGUUCCUGUCCAACGUUAAUCGGGGCAGGGUGAGUCGACCCCUAAGGCGAGGCCGAAAGGCGUAGUCGAUGGGAAACAGGUUAAUAUUCCUGUACUUGGUGUUACUGCGAAGGGGGGACGGAGAAGGCUAUGUUGGCCGGGCGACGGUUGUCCCGGUUUAAGCGUGUAGGCUGGUUUUCCAGGCAAAUCCGGAAAAUCAAGGCUGAGGCGUGAUGACGAGGCACUGCGGUGCUGAAGCAACAAAUGCCCUGCUUCCAGGAAAAGCCUCUAAGCAUCAGGUAACAUCAAAUCGUACCCCAAACCGACACAGGUGGUCAGGUAGAGAAUACCAAGGCGCUUGAGAGAACUCGGGUGAAGGAACUAGGCAAAAUGGUGCCGUAACUUCGGGAGAAGGCACGCUGAUAUGUAGGUGAAGUCCCUCGCGGAUGGAGCUGAAAUCAGUCGAAGAUACCAGCUGGCUGCAACUGUUUAUUAAAAACACAGCACUGUGCAAACACGAAAGUGGACGUAUACGGUGUGACGCCUGCCCGGUGCCGGAAGGUUAAUUGAUGGGGUUAGCGCAAGCGAAGCUCUUGAUCGAAGCCCCGGUAAACGGCGGCCGUAACUAUAACGGUCCUAAGGUAGCGAAAUUCCUUGUCGGGUAAGUUCCGACCUGCACGAAUGGCGUAAUGAUGGCCAGGCUGUCUCCACCCGAGACUCAGUGAAAUUGAACUCGCUGUGAAGAUGCAGUGUACCCGCGGCAAGACGGAAAGACCCCGUGAACCUUUACUAUAGCUUGACACUGAACAUUGAGCCUUGAUG